RNAcentral lists this ribosomal RNA (468 nucleotides) under uncultured bacterium. RNAcentral describes it as "partial 16S ribosomal RNA". The stretch from base 20 to 329 matches the Rfam family "Bacterial small subunit ribosomal RNA", at positions 47 to 358 of the family's 1533-position model. The record is from RNAcentral.
GACGAACGCUGGCGGCGUGCUUAACACAUGCAAGUCGAACGGAAAGGCCCUGCUUUUGUGGGGUGCUCGAGUGGCGAACGGGUGAGUAACACGUGAGUAACCUGCCCUUGACUUUGGGAUAACUUCAGGAAACUGGGGCUAAUACCGGAUAGGAGCUCCUGCUGCAUGGUGGGGGUUGGAAAGUUUCGGCGGUUGGGGAUGGACUCGCGGCUUAUCAGCUUGUUGGUGGGGUAGUGGCUUACCAAGGCUUUGACGGGUAGCCGGCCUGAGAGGGUGACCGGGCACAGGGGGACUGAGAGAGGGAGCAGACGGGAAGGGGCGGCAAGGGGGGAAAGUGUGGCGGAGGGGGGGGGAGUGAGGUAAGAAAGCCCCGGGGGCGGAAAGCCGGCUUAUGGGGGAAAAACCGGUUUGGAAGGAAACGAGGCGGGCGGGACGGUAAGGGAUAAGAAAGCCCCGGCUAACUACGUG